CAGGGUAAGGUGAGCCAGCUGAAGCUGAACUGGGGGUUGUGAUUGGUGAUAGCUUGCCUUGAUGGAAAGGUGUUUCCUGUUAAGUGCAGGUUGAUUUAGGGUUGAAACUCCUGGCUUGAGCUGGGCCUUGGGUCAGCCUCCAUUCUGCAAAUUUUUACCUACUGGACCAGGAAGUCCCAAGCAGGGCAUCUCUUAGACCUGCAGUUCAAGGCUAGAGCAAAUGAGACUCAGGGGGACUAGGACUAAAGAGAUCUCCAUCCUACCAGGAGAUCACAGGAGGAAACUGAGAGCUCGGACGCCCCACAGCAGUUAAAAAGGCAAGACAGAAAUGAAGACAGAGUGGGUCUGCAUCCCACCUGGGCCACCAUAGUUGUGAUCUGGGGCCUAGAGGCUGGAACAAGAGCGAGGGCCUGGCAUCCACGCCACAUCAUUCAGGGGCCUUCCAGCACCAGCACCUGAUCCAGCCCAGCAGAGCGGCUCUCCCUGAUAUUUUGGAAGCAAUCAUAUAUUUUUAAUGACCUGCAAAAUCUCCCUGUGAGAAGGGAGGGAGAGUUGAAAUUACAGCCAAGCAAUUUGCAUUGCGAAUAAGUUAUCCUGCCUCCUGCUCUCCAAGAAUAUGCAGAAAUAAAUGCCUCCUAAUGAACCCUGGGGGGCUGAGGCUUUGAUAUGAAUUCUGCUGCAGGGGUAAAGAGUUCUAGCCAGACUGAAACUCAGCGUGAAGUUGGAGCAGGAGGGCUGGGGCAGUCCCCUUCAGAGCGAGGGAAAAAGGAAAUUGGAUUAUCUUGCUAGCAGUUGGUGUUUUUCUAUCUCUUAGAACCACAGAUUAGUGCUCCCCUCCUUCAGAUGGUUGGGGAGGGUGGGGAGAGAUUCCAUUUAGCCCUAUUUCUCCAGCCGGCUGCUCACCUGCUUGUAACCCUUCCACCCUGGCCACUGUCAAGCUCCUUCUAGAUUCCCUGGACAUACAGAGACCAGGAGCUCCAAAGAUUUUGCCUUUUCCAGAACUAAAAAAGACCUAUUAAACACAGAUGGGCUUCCCUGGUGGCUCAGACAGUAAAGAAACUGCUGCAAUGUAGAAGACACAGGUUCCAUCCCUGGGUCAGGAAGAUCGCCUGGACAAGGGAAUGGCUACCCAUUCCAGUAUUCUUGCCUGGAGAAUUCCAUGGACACAGGAGCCUGGUGGGCUGCAGUCCAUGGCGUCGCAAAGAGUUGGACACAACUGAGUGACUUUCACUUUCUUUUUCAUUAAACAUAGAUAGAUGGAUGGAUAGAUAGAUAGAUGAUAAACAAUCUUUCUAUCUAAAGUCAGGUAACCUUUAGUUCUGGCUGCCAUAAGGAAAACACCAGCGCCCACCCCCGACCUCUCGCCGCCCUCCCAGAGCCUACAGGGUCUGUGUUUAUUCUGCACAGUGAAGUGUGUGUGUGUGUGGAGUGGGGACAAGUACGUGCUUGCAGGCCUGAGCUGUGUGGGGGCUGGCCUGUGAGCUGAGUGGUGUGGAUCUGAGGGCAUGUGGAUGUGGUAUUUGUGUGGGCUUGAGAGGUGUGGUAAUGAUGGUUUGUGUGGACUUGUGAAAGAGAGGAGGUGGGGAGGCCUGUUCACAGCCUCCCUGGGGAGUUGGUGGGGCUGGGCAAAAGCCCAGGUCGGACAAAGGGAAUCCAUCCGCAGCAGACC
Long non-coding RNA from Bos taurus (domestic cattle), 1669 nucleotides. NCBI's taxonomy places the organism in Eukaryota, Metazoa, Chordata, Mammalia, Artiodactyla, Bovidae. The record is from Ensembl.